GGGGCUGUAGCUCAGUGGCAAAGCGCUUGCCUAGCAUGCAUGAGGCACUGGAUUCGAUCCUCAGCACCA
Molecule: transfer RNA, 69 nt
Filed under: Marmota marmota marmota (Alpine marmot)
Lineage: Eukaryota; Metazoa; Chordata; Mammalia; Rodentia; Sciuridae
Also listed under: 1 other name
Rfam family: tRNA
About the family: Transfer RNA (tRNA) molecules are approximately 80 nucleotides in length.
Source: Rfam by way of RNAcentral